RNAcentral lists this unclassified non-coding RNA (323 nucleotides) under soil metagenome. RNAcentral's name for it is "partial contains 5.8S ribosomal RNA, internal transcribed spacer 2, and large subunit ribosomal RNA". The stretch from base 1 to 120 matches the Rfam family "5.8S ribosomal RNA", at positions 35 to 154 of the family's 154-position model. The record is from RNAcentral.
GAUGAAGAACGCAGCGAAAUGCGAUAAGUAGUGUGAAUUGCAGAAUUCAGUGAAUCAUCGAAUCUUUGAACGCACAUUGCGCCCCUUGGUAUUCCAUGGGGCAUGCCUGUACGAGCGUCAUUUGUACCUUCAAGCUUUGCUUGGUGUUGGGUGUUUGUCCUGAGGGACUCGCCUUAAAGUAAUUGGCAGCCAGUGUUUGGUUUUGAAGCGCAGCACAAGUCGCGAUUCAAAGCUAUACGCCCGCUUCCACAAGCCUUUUUCACUUUUGACCUCGGAUCAGGUAGGGAUACCCGCUGAACUUAAGCAUAUCAAUAAGCGGAGGA